ACUGCCUGCCCAGUGACUAAAGUUAAACGGCCGCGGUAUCCUGACCGUGCAAAGGUAGCAUAAUCACUUGUUCCUUAAUUAGGGACUGGUAUGAACGGCUAAACGAGAGCUCAACUGUCUCUUAUUUUUAAUCAGUGAAAUUGACAUCCCCGUGAAGAGGCGGGGAUACUGCAAUAAGACGAGAAGACCCUAUGGAGCUUUAAUUUACAUCUAAAUUUAACUACUAUUCCACCCUAUUGGACUAAAAACCUUAAAUAUUAGAUUAAAAUUUCGGUUGGGGUGACCUCGGAGCAUAAAAAACCCUCCGAACGAUAAUAACCAAGACUCACAAGUCAAAGUAAUUAAAACAAUCCAAUUGACCCAAUCUUUGAUCAACGGACCAAGUUACCCUAGGGAUAACAGCGCAAUCCUAUUUAAGAGUUCAUAUCGACAAUAGGGUUUACGACCUCGAUGUUGGAUCAGGACAUCCCAAUGGUGUAGCAGCUAUUAAUGGUUCGUUUG
Molecule: ribosomal RNA, 501 nt
Filed under: Lophuromys flavopunctatus (yellow-spotted brush-furred rat)
Lineage: Eukaryota; Metazoa; Chordata; Mammalia; Rodentia; Muridae
Description: partial 16S ribosomal RNA
Rfam family: Bacterial large subunit ribosomal RNA
Source: RNAcentral